ACAUAAGGCUCCACCAUGAGUACGGACGCGGAGAUGGCCACUUAUGGCAAAGCUGCCAUUUACCUUUGUAAGCCAGAGAGGGAGAGGAUUGAGGCUCAAAGCGCACCAUUUGAUGCCAAGAGUGCCGUCUAUGUGCAAGAUACUAAAGAGCUGUAUUUGAAGGCCAAAGUCAUCAAGAGAGAUGGUGGCAAAGUCACUGUCAAAGUCCUGACCACUGAGGAGGAGAGGACAGUUAAAGAAGAAGAAAUCUUUCCAAUGAAUCCUCCCAAGUAUGAUAAGAUUGAGGACAUGGCCAUGAUGACCCAUCUCAAUGAAGCCUCUGUGCUGUAUAAUCUCAAAGAGCGUUAUGCAGCAUGGAUGAUCUACACUUACUCUGGACUGUUCUGUGCCACUGUGAACCCCUACAAGUGGCUCCCAGUGUACGAUGCUGAAUGUGUAUCUGCCUAUAGAGGCAAGAAGCGUAUGGAGGCUCCACCCCACAUCUUCUCUGUCUCUGACAAUGCUUUUCAGUUUAUGGCAACUGAUAGGGAGAACCAGUCUGUCUUGAUCACUGGAGAAUCUGGUGCAGGGAAGACUGUGAACACCAAGCGUGUCAUCCAGUACUUUGCAACUAUCUCAGUUGGUGGACCGAAGAGGGACGCAUCAAAGGGGUCACUGGAGGAUCAGAUUAUUGCUGCCAAUCCUCUGCUGGAGGCCUAUGGUAACGCCAAAACUGUGAGGAAUGACAACUCCUCUCGUUUUGGUAAAUUCAUCAGAAUCCAUUUUGGCACAACUGGCAAACUGUCUAGUGCUGAUAUUGAGACAUAUCUGCUGGAAAAGUCUAGAGUGACAUUCCAGCUUCCUGAUGAGAGAGGCUACCACAUCUUCUACCAGAUGAUGACUGCCCACAAACCCGAGCUGCUUGACUUGUGUCUCAUCACAACCAACCCCUACGACUUCCCCAUGUGCAGCAUGGGUCAGAUCACUGUGGCCAGCAUUGAUGACAAAGUUGAGCUGGAAGCCACUGAUAAUGCUAUUGAUAUCCUGGGCUUCUCAAAUGAAGAGAAGUUGAGCAUCUACAAGAUGACUGGUGCAGUGCUCCACCAUGGUAACAUGAAGUUCAAGCAAAAGCAGCGUGAGGAGCAGGCUGAGCCUGAUGGCACAGAGGAAGCGGACAAGGUUGCCUACUUGCUGGGUCUGAACUCUGCUGAUAUGCUGAAAGCUCUGUGCUAUCCACGGGUGAAGGUCGGAAAUGAGUAUGUCACCAAGGGACAGACUGUACCUCAGGUGAUGAACUCUGUUCCUGCCCUGGCCAAGUCUAUUUAUGAGAAGAUGUUCUUGUGGAUGGUCAUCCGCAUCAACCAAAUGUUGGACACUAAACAACCAAGGCAGUUCUACAUUGGAGUCCUGGAUAUCGCUGGCUUUGAAAUCUUUGAUUUCAACACACUGGAGCAGCUGUGCAUCAACUUCACCAAUGAGAAACUGCAACAGUUCUUCAACCACACCAUGUUUGUCCUGGAGCAAGAGGAGUACAAGAAGGAGGGUAUUAUCUGGGAGUUCAUUGACUUUGGCAUGGACUUGGCUGCCUGCAUUGAGCUGAUUGAAAAGCCCAUGGGUAUCUUCUCCAUCCUUGAAGAGGAGUGCAUGUUCCCCAAGGCAACAGAUACAUCCUUCAAGAACAAGCUGUAUGACCAGCAUCUUGGCAAAAACAAAGCAUUUGAGAAGCCAAAGCCUACCAAGGGCAAGGCUGAGGCCCACUUCUCCCUGGUGCACUAUGCUGGUACCGUGGACUACAAUAUCAAUGGCUGGCUGGACAAGAACAAGGAUCCACUGAAUGAGUCUGUCAUCCAGCUGUACCAGAAAUCCUCUGUGAAACUGCUGCCUGUCCUGUAUCCCCCAGUAGUAGAAGAGGUUGGUGGCAGCAAGAAGGGAGGCAAGAAGAAGGGUGGUUCUAUGCAGACUGUGUCUUCACAGUUUAGGGAGAACUUGGGCAAGCUGAUGACGAACUUGAGGAGCACCCAUCCUCACUUUGUGCGCUGCUUGAUUCCCAAUGAGUCUAAGACUCCAGGUCUCAUGGAGAACUUCCUGGUCAUCCACCAGCUCAGGUGUAACGGUGUGCUGGAGGGAAUCAGAAUCUGCAGGAAAGGUUUCCCAAGCAGAAUUCUCUAUGCUGACUUCAAGCAGAGGUAAAAGGUGCUGAAUGCCAGUGUCAUCCCUGAGGGCCAGUUCAUUGACAACAAGAAGGCUUCAGAGAAGUUGCUUGGGUCAAUUGAUGUUCCUCAUGAUGAGUAUAAAUUUGGACACACAAAGGUCUUCUUCAAGGCCGGUCUGCUGGGUACCCUUGAGGAGAUGAGAGAUGAAAAACUAGCAUCACUGGUCACGAUGACCCAGGCUUUGUGCAGAGGUUACGUUAUGAGAAAGGAAUACGUGAAGAUGACAGAGAGGAGGGAAGCCAUUUAUACCAUCCAGUACAAUGUACGCUCAUUCAUGAAUGUGAAACACUGGCCAUGGAUGAAGGUGUACUACAAGAUCAAGCCACUGCUGAAAUCUGCUGAAACUGAGAAGGAGCUGGCAAACAUGAAGGAGAACUAUGAUAAGAUGAAAACUGACUUAGCUGCAGCCCUGGCCAAGAAGAAGGAAUUGGAGGAGAAGAUGGUGUCCCUUCUGCAAGAGAAGAACGAUCUGCAGAUGCAAGUAGCAUCUGAAGGAGAUAAUCUCUCAGAUGCUGAGGAAAGAUGUGAGGGUCUUAUCAAGAGCAAGAUUCAGCUGGAGGCCAAACUCAAAGAGACAACUGAGAGACUGGAGGAUGAAGAGGAAAUCAAUGCUGAGCUCACUGCCAAAAAGAGAAAGCUGGAGGAUGAAUGCUCUGAGCUCAAGAAGGAUAUUGAUGACCUGGAGCUUACCUUGGCCAAAGUGGAGAAGGAGAAACAUGCCACUGAGAACAAGGUCAAGAACCUGACCGAGGAGAUGGCCUCUCAGGAUGAGAGCAUUGCCAAGUUAACCAAGGAAAAGAAAGCGCUUCAGGAGGCUCACCAGCAGACUCUUGAUGACCUGCAGGCAGAGGAAGACAAAGUCAACACUCUGACCAAGUCCAAGACCAAGCUUGAGCAGCAAGUGGACGAUCUUGAGGGUUCUCUGGAGCAAGAGAAGAAGCUUCGUAUGGACCUUGAGAGAGCCAAGAGAAAGCUUGAGGGUGAUCUGAAACUAUCCCAGGAAUCUGUCAUGGAUCUUGAGAAUGACAAACAGCAGUCUGAUGAGAAAAUUAAAAAGAAGGACUUUGAAAUCAGUCAGUUCCUUAGCAAGAUUGAAGAUGAGCAGUCACUGGGUGCUCAGCUUCAGAAGAAGAUCAAGGAGCUUCAGGCCCGCAUUGAAGAACUGGAGGAAGAGAUUGAGGCUGAGCGUGCCGCUCGUGCCAAGGUGGAGAAGCAGAGAGCUGACCUCUCCAGGGAACUUGAGGAGAUCAGUGAGAGGCUGGAAGAGGCCGGUGGUGCGACUGCUGCUCAGAUUGAGAUGAACAAGAAGCGUGAGGCUGAGUUCCAGAAGCUCCGUCGCGACCUUGAGGAGUCCACUCUGCAGCAUGAAUCCACUGCUGCUGCUCUCCGCAAGAAGCAGGCUGACAGCGUUGCUGAGCUGGGUGAGCAGAUUGACAACCUCCAGCGUGUGAAGCAGAAGCUUGAGAAGGAAAAGAGUGAAUACAAGAUGGAGAUCGAUGACCUCUCCAGCAACAUGAAGAAUGUUGCUAAAGCAAAGGGAAAUCUUGAAAAGAUGUGCCGUACUCUUGAGGACCAAUUUAGCGAACUGAAGACAAAGAAUGAUGAAAAUGUUCGUCAGAUCAAUGACUCAAAUGCACAGAAAGCACGUCUCCUCACAGAAAAUGGUGAGUUCAGCCGUCAACUUGAGGAGAAAGAAGCCCUUGUCUCCCAGCUGACCAGAGGCAAACAGGCCUUCACUCAGCAGAUUGAGGAGCUCAAGAGACAGGUUGAAGAGGAAGUUAAGGCCAAGAAUGCUCUCGCCCAUGGAAUGCAAUCUGCUCGCCAUGACUGUGAUCUGCUGAGGGAGCAGUUUGAGGAGGAGCAGGAGGCCAAGGCUGAGCUUCAGCGUGGAAUGUCCAAGGCAAACGGUGAGGUGUCUCAGUGGAGAUCCAAGUAUGAAACUGAUGCAAUUCAGCGCACUGAGGAGCUUGAGGAAUCCAAGAAAAAGCUGGCUCAGCGCCUUCAGGAGGCUGAGGAACAGAUUGAGGCCGUGAACUCCAAGUGCGCCUCUCUUGAGAAAACCAAACAGAGGCUCCAGAGUGAGGUGGAGGACCUCAUGAUUGAUGUGGAGAGGGCCAACGGUCUCGCUGCCAACCUUGACAAGAAGCAGAGGAACUUUGACAAGGUGUUGGCAGACUGGAAACAAAAGUACGAGGAGGGUCAGGCCGAGCUAGAGGGAGCAAUGAAAGAGGCUCGUUCUCUCAGCACUGAGCUGUUCAAGAUGAAGAACUCUUAUGAGGAAGCUCUGGAUCAGCUGGAGACAAUGAAGCGGGAAAACAAGAACCUACAACAGGAGAUCUCAGAUCUCACUGAACAGAUUGGUGAGACUGGCAAGAGCAUCCAUGAGCUGGAGAAGUCCAAGAAGCAGGUGGAAACAGAGAAGACUGAGAUCCAGACAGCUCUUGAAGAAGCUGAGGGAACUCUGGAACACGAGGAGUCCAAGAUCCUCCGUGUCCAGCUGGAGCUGAACCAGAUUAAGGGUGAAGUGGACAGGAAGCUGGCAGAGAAAGAUGAGGAGAUGGAGCAGAUCAAGAGGAACAGCCAGAGAAUCACUGACUCCAUGCAGAGCACUUUGGACGCUGAGGUCAGGAGCAGGAACGAUGCUAUGAGGAUCAAGAAGAAGAUGGAGGGAGACCUCAACGAAAUGGAGAUUCAGCUGAGCCACGCGAAUCGCCAGGCUGCUGAGUCCCAGAAGCAGCUGAGGAACGUGCAGACACAGCUAAAGGAUGCACAACUGCACCUUGACGAUGCUGUUAGAGCCCAGGAAGACUUCAAGGAAGAGGAACAGGCCAAUACUCAUCUGUCCAAGUGCAGAAAGGUCCAGCAUGAGCUGGAAGAGGCUGAGGAGCGUGCAGACAUUGCUGAGUCUCAAGUCAACAAGAUGAGAGCAAAAAGUCGUGACACUGGCAAGGCCAAAGAAGUAGCCGAGUAA
Molecule: non-coding RNA, 5163 nt
Organism: Gasterosteus aculeatus aculeatus (three-spined stickleback)
Lineage: Eukaryota; Metazoa; Chordata; Actinopteri; Perciformes; Gasterosteidae
Source: RefSeq, a predicted model, not a curated record